UUUCCUACGGGGGGCUGCAGUGGGGAAUUUUGGACAAUGGGGGCAACCCUGAUCCAGCCAUGCCGCGUGCGGGAAGAAGGCCUUCGGGUUGUAAACCGCUUUUGUCGGGGAAGAAACGGUCUGCGCUAAUACCGCGGGCUAAUGACGGUACCCGAAGAAUAAGCACCGGCUAACUACGUGCCAGCAGCCGCGGUAAUACGUAGGGUGCAAGCGUUAAUCGGAAUUACUGGGCGUAAAGCGUGCGCAGGCGGCUUUGCAAGACAGAUGUGAAAUCCCCGGGCUCAACCUGGGAACUGCAUUUGUGACUGCAUGGCUGGAGUGCGGCAGAGGGGGAUGGAAUUCCGCGUGUAGCAGUGAAAUGCGUAGAUAUGCGGAGGAACACCGAUGGCGAAGGCAAUCCCCUGGGCCUGCACUGACGCUCAUGCACGAAAGCGUGGGGAGCAAACAGGAUUAGAUACCCUGGUAGUCCAA
RNAcentral lists this ribosomal RNA (471 nucleotides) under uncultured Comamonadaceae bacterium. Its description in RNAcentral is "bacterial SSU rRNA". It matches the Rfam family "Bacterial small subunit ribosomal RNA", at positions 335 to 798 of the family's 1533-position model. The record is from RNAcentral. Lineage: Bacteria; Pseudomonadati; Pseudomonadota; Betaproteobacteria; Burkholderiales; Comamonadaceae.